UCAACUGACUAAUUACCAAACAUUAUCUAAUUUUGUGGUGGGCAAAGGAAAUGUGUCAAGGGUAGGAGAGAUAGGGCCUCUAUCGCUUCGCUGGACAUUGUGCCUCAAAAGAUUGGAAAAUGUGACUAAUGUUGAGGAUGCAACAAGCACAACCUCAGCUCUCUUCAGAGAUUAACAAUCGCUUACUGUAAAGGUUUGGUGUCCAUUCUAGAAGAGGGUUUUCCCUCAAACCUAACAGUACUUAAAAUUGUGGAUCCCAAGAGUUGUAAGCCACUCUCUGAGUGGGGAUUGCAGUUGGAGAAACUCACCUCUCUAAAAGAGUUGUGGAUCUCUGGUGUAGAUCCAUAUAUGGUGUCCUUUCCACCAGAGGAUAUAGAGUUGAUGCUCCCUAAAUCCGUCAGUAGACUCGACAUUGCAAACUUCCCAAGUCUGAGGCGCCUAUCCAGGAAGGCCCUUCAGUCCCUCACCUCUCUUGAAUAUCCUGAGAUUGCUGAUUGUCAAAAGCUAGCAUCCAUUCCAGAGAAGUAUCUGCCUCUUUCACUUGCAAAACUUCACAUAUAUGCAUGUCCGAAGCUAAAAGAUAGAUAUACUUGCAACACAACAUACUGGUCCAAAAUAGCUCACAUCCCUUGCAUACAUAUUGGAGAUGAGUAUUUGAGCCCACUGAAGACUCACAGCUAACAUCCCUGGCCCUUCAAGAUGGUCUGUUGCAUAUGAAAACCACGUGCUGGAGCUGUCGGGCCCACUGGAACUCUUCAAAGGCGUUAAAGCAGGAGGAUGUAUGUGCAGUUGUUCAGGAAAGCAUGACAGUAUCCUCAGCUUAUACUCGGUCAAAAAAUGUUGUUCAAUACUGAAAAGCCAAAGAAUGUAUGUGCAGUUGUUCAAAAGCUGAGGUACAAGAGGGUCAUGCUAGCAUAAAAUCAUUGACCGCUGGUGCCUGGAGAUCAACGCCUGUUUAUACCUUUGGCCUUGUUUUAUAGUAUCAUGCACUAAUGGAUCGAGGCGCAUAAUAUCACAGACCUCUGAUGUGUUACCCAGCAUGUUUGGUGUUUAUACAGAUACCAAUAUCAUUUCUCAGUGUGUUCUUGCAAGUCUUCGUGCUCCUUAUCAGUUGUAUGUUUAAUUGAGAGUAAAAAUAGAAUAGAAAAGAGUUGACAACUUGACAACUUUGGUGCUACGGUGACGUUCUGAGUGUAUUGUGCAAGUAAAGGUUGUCAUUGUACGUACCAUCAAUACUGGUUUCAAUUUUGUGUUCUCUCGGUCAUUGUGGAUCUGAUCAAGUUUUAUUUUGGCGGGUUUUUCUCUUUAUGAUGCAAAACAAGUCGGUUAGGAUUAGGCUAGAUCGGUAGUUCAA
Long non-coding RNA from Rosa chinensis, 1354 nucleotides. RefSeq lists it as uncharacterized. The transcript has 4 exons. The record is from RefSeq and is a predicted model, not a curated record. Lineage: Eukaryota; Viridiplantae; Streptophyta; Magnoliopsida; Rosales; Rosaceae.